Molecule: ribosomal RNA, 253 nt
Filed under: uncultured bacterium
Lineage: Bacteria
Description: partial 16S ribosomal RNA
Rfam family: Bacterial small subunit ribosomal RNA
Source: RNAcentral
UACGGGGGGGGCAAGCGUUGUUCGGAAUUACUGGGCGUAAAGGGUGCGUAGGCGGUCCGCUAAGUUGGAUGUGAAAACUCUGGGCUUAACCCAGAGCCUGCAUCCAAAACUGGCGGGCUAGAGUUCUGGAGGGGGUAGCGGAAUUCCUGGUGUAGCGGUGAAAUGCGUAGAUAUCAGGAGGAACACCGGUGGCGAAGGCGGCUACCUGGACAGAAACUGACGCUGAGGCACGAAAGCUAGGGGAGCAAACAGG